UCCCUCGAGGACGGCAUCCCGCCGGGGCUCCGUGCGCAGCCCGUCGCAGUCAAGAGAGCGCGGGCAGACAACUACCACUCCGAGGAACAUCUGAAAGAUUCGAUAUUCCUGGGGGAGCUGCAGCCGCGGCAGCCGAGCCUGGUGAAGAUGAUCGGCUACUGCUACGAGGGGUUGCACAGGCUUCUCGUCUACGAGCUAAUGGACCAUGGCAGCUUGGCAAACUACCUCUCUAAUGAUAUUCGUGUUGUGUUGUCAUUGUCAACACGAUUAAGCAUUGCUCUAGCUACCGCGAAAGGGUUGUUGUCCCUCCACGGUGAAGAGAAGCCAUUGAUCUCCAGCAUAUUUAACGCCUCCAACAUCUUACUAGACUCGGUG
Triticum urartu is the source of this 375-nucleotide non-coding RNA. The record is from RefSeq and is a predicted model, not a curated record. Lineage: Eukaryota; Viridiplantae; Streptophyta; Magnoliopsida; Poales; Poaceae.